AUGCAAGUCGUGGGGCGAGCAUGACGACUGCUUGCAAUUGUUGAUGGCGACCGGCGCACGGGUGAGUAACGCGUAUCCAACCUUCCCCAGUAGUAGGGUAUAGCCCGGCGAAAGUCGGAUUAAUCCCCUAUGUUAGUUUGAAGCGGACAUCUAAUUCAACCAAAGAUUCAUCGCUAUGGGAUGGGAUGCGUCUGAUUAGGUUGCAGGCGGGUAACGGCCCACCUGGCCGACGAUCAGUAGGGGUUCUGAGAGGAAGGUCCCCCACACUGGUACUGAGACACGGACCAGACUCCUACGGGAGGCAGCAGUGAGGAAUAUUGGUCAAUGGGCGCGAGCCUGAACCAGCCAAGUAGCGUGCCAGGAUGACGGCCCUACGGGUUGUAAACUGCUUUUAUGCGGGGAUAAAGUGCGGCACGUGUGCCGUUUUGCAGGUACCGCAUGAAUAAGGACCGGCUAAUUCCGUGCCAGCCGCGGC
This 475-nucleotide ribosomal RNA is filed under the name uncultured bacterium. Its description in RNAcentral is "bacterial SSU rRNA". It matches the Rfam family "Bacterial small subunit ribosomal RNA", at positions 55 to 518 of the family's 1533-position model. The record is from RNAcentral.